CUACGGGCGGCACCAGUGGGGAAUAUUGGACAAUGGGGGAAACCCUGAUCCAGCAAUGCCGCGUGUGUGAAGAAGGCCUGCGGGUUGCAAAGCACUUUCGGUUGGGAGGACUGCUUCUAGCACUAAUAUUGUUGGAAGUUGACGUUACCUUCAGAAGAAGCACCGGCUAACUCCGUGCCAGCAGCCGCGGUAAUACGGAGGGUGCAAGCGUAAUCGGAAUUACUGGGCGUAAAGCGCGCGUAGGCGGCUAGAUCAGUCGGGUGUGAAAGCCCCGGGCUUAACCUGGGGACUGCAUCCGAUACUGUCUAGCUUGAGUACAGGAGAGGAGAGUGGAACUCCAUAUGUAGCGGUGAAAUGCGUAGAUAUGUGGAGGAACACCAAUGGCGAAGGCAGCUCUCUGGCCUGAUACUGACGCUGAGGUGCGAAAGCGUGGGGAGCAAACAGGAUUAGAUACCCGGGUAGUC
This 464-nucleotide ribosomal RNA is filed under the name uncultured bacterium. RNAcentral's name for it is "partial 16S ribosomal RNA". It matches the Rfam family "Bacterial small subunit ribosomal RNA", at positions 339 to 795 of the family's 1533-position model. The record is from RNAcentral.